UUUUAUCUCAAGCUCAACAAGUGUUCUUCGUGCAAGACUCUAAAGAUAAAGAUUGGUCUGUUGUUAUUAAGACUAAACCUAGGAACUUGUAUGAUAUGGGAAAAGGGUUAGCAGAGGAGGAUGAUAAGACUUAUACUCAGUGUAUGCCUUUUAAUGUUCCGCCAAUUGAUGAACUGAAUUCUACUAGUUUGGUUAGGAUGGAUGUUGAAUGAGAGCUGGCUAGUUUCUUAAUGGUAAGUAAAACAUUAGUUUUAUGCAUUAAAUUAUUUUGCAAUUUAUAAAUUAUUU
Molecule: long non-coding RNA, 288 nt
Filed under: Phoenix dactylifera (date palm)
Lineage: Eukaryota; Viridiplantae; Streptophyta; Magnoliopsida; Arecales; Arecaceae
Description: long non-coding RNA (PDAC_LNC009522)
Source: RNAcentral